This 496-nucleotide ribosomal RNA is filed under the name uncultured bacterium. Its description in RNAcentral is "partial 16S ribosomal RNA". It matches the Rfam family "Bacterial small subunit ribosomal RNA", at positions 28 to 507 of the family's 1533-position model. The record is from RNAcentral.
GAUGAACGCUGGCGGCGUGCCUAAUACAUGCAAGUCGAGCGAACGGACGAGAAGCUUGUUCCUCUGAGGUUAGCGGCGGACGGGUGAGUAACACGUGGAUAACCUACCUAUAAGACUGGGAUAACAUCGGGAAACCGUAGCUAAUACCGCAUAAUAUUUUGAACCGCAUGGUUCAAAAGUGAAAGACGCUCUUGCUGUCACCAAUAGAUGGACCCGGGUUGAUUAGCUUGGUGGGUAGGUAACGGCUUACCAAGGCAACGAUGCGUAGCCGACCUGAGAGGGUGAUCGGCCACACUGGAACUGAGACACGGUCCAGACUCCUACGGGAGGCAGCAGUGGGGAAUCUUGGGCAAUGGGCGAAAGCCUGACGGAGCAACGCCGCGUGGGUGAUGAAGGUCUUCGGGUCGUAAAACCCUGUUGUUGGGAAAGAAAAUAUGUGUAAGUAAAUGUGCAUAUCUUGACGGUACCUAAACAGAAAGCAACGGCUAACUACGUG